CACCAGGUUGAUUCUGCCUGACGUAGACGCUAUUCCCUAAGAUUAACCCAUGCAUGUUUUUGACAUUUGAAAAAUGGACUGCUCAGUAAUACUCACUUUAUUUUAUGUAAAUUUUUAAUUAACUACGUUAAAGUGUAGAUAAGAUGUUUACAGUAAGAGUGAGACCUAUCAGCUAGUUGUUAAGGUAAUGGCUUAACAAGGCUGUGACGGGUAACGGUAUUACUUUGUAAUAUUCCGGAGAAGGAGCCUGAGAGACGGCUACUAAGUCUAAGGAUUGUGCAGCAGGGGCGAAACUUGACCUAUGGAUUUUAUCUGAGGCAGUUAUGGGAAGUAAUAUUAUAUUGUUUCAUAUUUUAAAAGUAUAUGAGGUGAUUAAUUGGAGGGCAAAUCAAGUGCCAGCAGCCGCGGUAAUACUUGUUCCAAGAGUGUGUAUGAUGAUUGAUGCAGUUAAAAAGUCCGUAGUUUAUUUUUUUAAGAAGCAAUAUGAGGUGUACUGUAUAGUUGGGAGAAAGAUGAAAUGUGACGACCCUGACUGGACGAACAGAAGCGAAAGCU
Molecule: ribosomal RNA, 555 nt
Filed under: Vairimorpha ceranae
Lineage: Eukaryota; Fungi; Microsporidia; Nosematidae
Description: SSU rRNA
Rfam family: Microsporidia small subunit ribosomal RNA
Source: RNAcentral